CCCCUGAUGGUCCAGUGGUUAGGACUUGGUGCUUUCACUGCCAAGGGCCCAGGUUCAAUCCCUGGUCAGGAAA
RNAcentral lists this transfer RNA (73 nucleotides) under Bos taurus (domestic cattle). It matches the Rfam family "tRNA". From Rfam's summary of the family: Transfer RNA (tRNA) molecules are approximately 80 nucleotides in length. RNAcentral also lists the same sequence under 6 other names. The record is from Rfam by way of RNAcentral. Lineage: Eukaryota; Metazoa; Chordata; Mammalia; Artiodactyla; Bovidae.